This 214-nucleotide long non-coding RNA is filed under the name Lathyrus oleraceus (garden pea). RNAcentral describes it as "Pisum sativum (pea) long non-coding RNA (PSAT_LNC015972)". Lineage: Eukaryota; Viridiplantae; Streptophyta; Magnoliopsida; Fabales; Fabaceae. The record is from RNAcentral.
UUAGUUGUUAACGAGUUAGAAGUUAGUAUUGUUUUUCUUUUGCUUUUUAAGUCAUUCUUUUGAGAACACUCAACCCACUUAUCCCAAGCAUGGAUCCUUGAGCCAAGACAUCUUCCAAAGGAAGGAAAAAAGGCCAAGUUUCCACACAGUACCAUGAAAGAGGGGAGACUUACAAUCUCACUAACUAGAAUGCUAUGCCUUUUGUGUCAAAAAU